Molecule: long non-coding RNA, 236 nt
Organism: Clupea harengus (Atlantic herring)
Lineage: Eukaryota; Metazoa; Chordata; Actinopteri; Clupeiformes; Clupeidae
Gene: rel
Exons: 3
Source: RefSeq, a predicted model, not a curated record
CGGCUACCAGGAGAAAAAGAGGAGGAGGAGCGACCUGAUGAAGUCAUUUUCCACUUUCCCGAGUGGAAUGAACCCAAUGAAUCGACCUAAGGCAGUUCCACAGACGACUAUGAUGUCCCAGUUAAUCAAAAAGGAACCUCCGAACGCAUACACCAACCAGGUCAACAGUGGUCAGCUGAGGCCAAAUCAAGGCCACAUGUACUACCAACCUGCAACUCAUCGGCCCAUGAUGGCAA